GAUGGGGUCGCCGAGUGGUCAGGCACUUACCCGCAAGGUAAGCUACGCAGGUUCGAAUCCUGCCCCCAUCUCCA
This 74-nucleotide transfer RNA is filed under the name candidate division WWE3 bacterium. Its description in RNAcentral is "tRNA-Cys". It matches the Rfam family "tRNA". From Rfam's summary of the family: Transfer RNA (tRNA) molecules are approximately 80 nucleotides in length. Their secondary structure includes four short double-helical elements and three loops (D, anti-codon, and T loops). Further hydrogen bonds mediate the characteristic L-shaped molecular structure. tRNAs have two regions of fundamental functional importance: the anti-codon, which is responsible for specific mRNA codon recognition, and the 3' end, to which the tRNAs corresponding amino acid is attached (by aminoacyl-tRNA synthetases). tRNAs cope with the degeneracy of the genetic code in two manners: having more than one tRNA (with a specific anti-codon) for a particular amino acid; and 'wobble' base-pairing, i.e. permitting non-standard base-pairing at the 3rd anti-codon position. The record is from RNAcentral. Lineage: Bacteria; candidate division WWE3.